GCUUAACACAUGCAAGUCGAGGGGCAUCAGGAAGAAAGCUUGCUUUCUUUGCUGGCGACCGGCGCACGGGUGAGUAACACGUAUCCAACCUGCCCUUUAUUCGGGGAUAGCCUUUCGAAAGAAAGAUUAAUACCCGAUGGCAUAAUGAUUCCGCAUGGUUUCAUUAUUAAAGGAUUCCGGUAAAGGAUGGGGAUGCGUUCCAUUAGGUUGUUGGUGAGGUAACGGCUCACCAAGCCUUCGAUGGAUAGGGGUUCUGAGAGGAAGGUCCCCCACAUUGGAACUGAGACACGGUCCAAACUCCUACGGGAGGCAGCAGUGAGGAAUAUUGGUCAAUGGGCGCUAGCCUGAACCAGCCAAGUAGCGUGAAGGAUGAAGGCUCUAUGGGUCGUAAACUUCUUUUAUAUAAGAAUAAAGUGCAGUAUGUAUACUGUUUUGUAUGUAUUAUAUGAAUAAGGAUCGGCUAACUCCGUGCCAGCAGCCGCGGUAAUACGGAGGAUCCGAGCGUUAUCCGGAUUUAUUGGGUUUAAAGGGAGCGUAGGUGGACUGGUAAGUCAGUUGUGAAAGUUUGCGGCUCAACCGUAAAAUUGCAGUUGAUACUGUCAGUCUUGAGUACAGUAGAGGUGGGCGGAAUUCGUGGUGUAGCGGUGAAAUGCUUAGAUAUCACGAAGAACUCCGAUUGCGAAGGCAGCUCACUGGACUGCAACUGACACUGAUGCUCGAAAGUGUGGGUAUCAAACAGGAUUAGAUACCCUGGUAGUCCACACAGUAAACGAUGAAUACUCGCUGUUUGCGAUAUACAGUAAGCGGCCAAGCGAAAGCAUUAAGUAUUCCACCUGGGGAGUACGCCGGCAACGGUGAAACUCAAAGGAAUUGACGGGGGCCCGCACAAGCGGAGGAACAUGUGGUUUAAUUCGAUGAUACGCGAGGAACCUUACCCGGGCUUAAAUUGCAGUGGAAUGAUGUGGAAACAUGUCAGUGAGCAAUCACCGCUGUGAAGGUGCUGCAUGGUUGUCGUCAGCUCGUGCCGUGAGGUGUCGGCUUAAGUGCCAUAACGAGCGCAACCCUUAUCUUUAGUUACUAACAGGUUAUGCUGAGGACUCUAGAGAGACUGCCGUCGUAAGAUGUGAGGAAGGUGGGGAUGACGUCAAAUCAGCACGGCCCUUACGUCCGGGGCUACACACGUGUUACAAUGGGGAGUACAGAAGGCGGCUACCUGGUGACAGGAUGCUAAUCCCAAAAACCUCUCUCAGUUCGGAUCGAAGUCUGCAACCCGACUCCGUGAAGCUGGAUUCGCUAGUAAUCGCGCAUCAGCCACGGCGCGGUGAAUACGUUCCCGGGCCUUGUACACACCGCCCGUCAAGCCAUGGGAGCCGGGGGUACCUGAAGUACGUAACCGCAAGGAUCGUCCUAGGGUAAAACUGGUGACUGGGGCUAAAUG
Molecule: ribosomal RNA, 1438 nt
Filed under: uncultured organism
Description: SSU rRNA
Rfam family: Bacterial small subunit ribosomal RNA
Source: RNAcentral